AACAAACGCUGGCGGCAUGCCUAACACAUGCAAGUCGAACGAGACCUUCGGGUCUAGUGGCGCACGGGUGCGUAACGCGUGGGAACCUGCCCUUAGGUUCGGAAUAACUCCCCGAAAGGGGUGCUAAUACCGGAUAAUGUCUUCGGACCAAAGAUUUAUCGCCUUUGGAUGGGCCCGCGUUGGAUUAGCUAGUUGGUAGGGUAAAAGCCUACCAAGGCGACGAUCCAUAGCUGGUUUGAGAGGAUGAUCAGCCACACUGGGACUGAGACACGGCCCAGACACCCCCGGGGGGGGCAGGGGGGGGAAAUUGGAGACAGGGGGAAAACCUGUGACCCAAAUGUCGCGGGAGGGUGAUAAGGGUUUGGGGUGUAAAGCGCUUUUUUCCCGGGGAUUAAAAAGAGUGCCGGGGGAAAAAGCGCCCGGGAAAACCCC
RNAcentral lists this ribosomal RNA (432 nucleotides) under uncultured bacterium. RNAcentral describes it as "partial 16S ribosomal RNA". It matches the Rfam family "Bacterial small subunit ribosomal RNA", at positions 29 to 504 of the family's 1533-position model. The record is from RNAcentral.